This 652-nucleotide ribosomal RNA is filed under the name uncultured Vagococcus sp. Its description in RNAcentral is "bacterial SSU rRNA". It matches the Rfam family "Bacterial small subunit ribosomal RNA", at positions 49 to 675 of the family's 1533-position model. Lineage: Bacteria; Bacillati; Bacillota; Bacilli; Lactobacillales; Enterococcaceae. The record is from RNAcentral.
CUAUACAUGCAGUCGAACGCUUUGAUUUUCACCGGAGCUUGCUCCACCGAAAAUCAAAGAGUGGCGGACGGGUGAGUAACACGUGGGCAACCUGCCCAACAGAGGGGGAUAACACUUGGAAACAGGUGCUAAUACCGCAUAAUUUGUUUUCCCGCAUGGGAGAAUAAUAAAAGACGCUUCGGUGUCACUGUUGGAUGGGCCCGCGCUGCAUUAGUUAGUUGGUGGGGUAAUGGCCUACCAAGACCGUGAUGCAUAGCCGACCUGAGAGGGUGAUCGGCCACACUGGGACUGAGACACGGCCCAGACUCCUACGGGAGGCAGCAGUAGGGAAUCUUCGGCAAUGGACGAAAGUCUGACCGAGCAACGCCGCGUGAGUGAAGAAGGUUUUCGGAUCGUAAAACUCUGUUGUUAGAGAAGAACAAGUGGGAGAGUAACUGUUCCCACCUUGACGGUAUCUAACCAGAAAGCCACGGCUAACUACGUGCCAGCAGCCGCGGUAAUACGUAGGUGGCAAGCGUUGUCCGGAUUUAUUAGGCGUAAAGCGAGCGCAGGCGGUUUCUUAAGUCUGAUGUGAAAGCCCUCGGCUCAACCGAGGAAGGUCAUUGGAAACUGGGGAACUUGAAUGCAGAAGAGGAGAGUGGAAUUCCAUGUG